This 403-nucleotide ribosomal RNA is filed under the name Verrucomicrobiota bacterium. Its description in RNAcentral is "Verrucomicrobia bacterium partial 16S ribosomal RNA". It matches the Rfam family "Bacterial small subunit ribosomal RNA", at positions 355 to 776 of the family's 1533-position model. Lineage: Bacteria; Pseudomonadati; Verrucomicrobiota. The record is from RNAcentral.
UGGGGAAUAUUGCACAAUGGAGGGAACUCUGAUGCAGCGACGCCGCGUGAACGAAGAAGGCUUUCGAGUCGUAAAGUUCUUUUAUAUGGGAAGAUAAUGACGGUACCAUAAGAAAAAGCCCCGGCUAACUACGUGCCAGCAGCCGCGGUAAUACGUAGGGGGCUAGCGUUGUCCGGAAUCACUGGGCGUAAAGGGUUCGCAGGCGGAAAUGCAAGUCAGGUGUAAAAGGCAGUAGCUUAACUACUGUAAGCAUUUGAAACUGCAUAUCUUGAGAAGAGUAGAGGUAAGUGGAAUUUUUAGUGUAGCGGUGAAAUGCGUAGAUAUUAGGAAGAACACCGGUGGCGAAGGCGACUUUCUGGACGAAAACUGACGCUGAUGCGCGAAAGCGUGGGGAGCAAACAGG